This 764-nucleotide ribosomal RNA is filed under the name Escherichia coli. Its description in RNAcentral is "partial 23S ribosomal RNA". It matches the Rfam family "Bacterial large subunit ribosomal RNA", at positions 474 to 1239 of the family's 2925-position model. Lineage: Bacteria; Pseudomonadati; Pseudomonadota; Gammaproteobacteria; Enterobacterales; Enterobacteriaceae. The record is from RNAcentral.
UCCUGACUGACCGAUAGUGAACCAGUACCGUGAGGGAAAGGCGAAAAGAACCCCGGCGAGGGGAGUGAAAAAGAACCUGAAACCGUGUACGUACAAGCAGUGGGAGCCUCUUUUAUGGGGUGACUGCGUACCUUUUGUAUAAUGGGUCAGCGACUUAUAUUCUGUAGCAAGGUUAACCGAAUAGGGGAGCCGAAGGGAAACCGAGUCUUAACUGGGCGUUAAGUUGCAGGGUAUAGACCCGAAACCCGGUGAUCUAGCCAUGGGCAGGUUGAAGGUUGGGUAACACUAACUGGAGGACCGAACCGACUAAUGUUGAAAAAUUAGCGGAUGACUUGUGGCUGGGGGUGAAAGGCCAAUCAAACCGGGAGAUAGCUGGUUCUCCCCGAAAGCUAUUUAGGUAGCGCCUCGUGAACUCAUCUCCGGGGGUAGAGCACUGUUUCGGCAAGGGGGUCAUCCCGACUUACCAACCCGAUGCAAACUGCGAAUACCGGAGAAUGUUAUCACGGGAGACACACGGCGGGUGCUAACGUCCGUCGUGAAGAGGGAAACAACCCAGACCGCCAGCUAAGGUCCCAAAGUCAUGGUUAAGUGGGAAACGAUGUGGGAAGGCCCAGACAGCCAGGAUGUUGGCUUAGAAGCAGCCAUCAUUUAAAGAAAGCGUAAUAGCUCACUGGUCGAGUCGGCCUGCGCGGAAGAUGUAACGGGGCUAAACCAUGCACCGAAGCUGCGGCAGCGACACUAUGUGUUGUUGGGUAGGGGAGCGU